UAGUAACUGCGAGUGAAGCGGGAAAAGCUCAAAUUUAAAAUCUGGCGGUCUUUGGCCGUCCGAGUUGUAGUCUGGAGAAGUGCUUUCCGCGCUGGACCGUGUACAAGUCUCCUGGAACGGAGCGUCAUAGAGGGUGAGAAUCCUGUCUUUGACACGGACUACCAGUGCUUUGUGUUGCGCUCUCAAAGAGUCGAGUUGUUUGGGAAUGCAGCUCAAAAUGGGUGGUGAAUUCCAUCUAAAGCUAAAUAUUGGCGAGAGACCGAUAGCGAACAAGUACCGUGAGGGAAAGAUGAAAAGCACUUUGGAAAGAGAGUUAAACAGUACGUGAAAUUGCUGAAAGGGAAACGCUUGAAGUCAGUCGUGUCGGCCGGAACUCAGCCUUGCUUUUGCUUGGUGUACUUUCCGGUUGACGGGCCAGCAUCGAUUUUGACUGCCGGAAAAAGGCAAGGGAAAUGUGGCACCUUCGGGUGUGUUAUAGCCCCUUGUUGCAUACGGCGGUUGGGAUCGAGGAUCGCAGCACACCUUUAUGGUCGGGGUUCGCCCACGUUUGUGCUUAGGAUGCUGGCGUAAUGGCUUUAAACGACCCGUCUUGAAACACGGACCAAGGAGUCUAACAUGCCUGCGAGUGUUUGGGUGGAAAACCCGAGCGCGUAAUGAAAGUGAAGACUGGGACUCCUGUCGUGGGAGGCACCAGUGCCCGGACCUGACGUUCUCUGACGGCUCCGCGGUAGAGCAUGUAUGUUGGGACCCGAAAGAUGGUGAACUAUGCCUGAAUAGGGUGAAGCCAGAGGAAACUCUGGUGGAGGCUCGUAGCGAUUCUGACGUGCAAAUCGAUCGUCAAAUUUGGGUAUAGGG
This 855-nucleotide ribosomal RNA is filed under the name Meruliaceae sp. RNAcentral's name for it is "LSU rRNA". It matches the Rfam family "Eukaryotic large subunit ribosomal RNA", at positions 81 to 922 of the family's 3401-position model. The record is from RNAcentral. Lineage: Eukaryota; Fungi; Basidiomycota; Agaricomycetes; Polyporales; Meruliaceae.